UGCUCGACGGCCGCUGCCCGCUGCGCUGGGAGCUUGCGACGAGCCAACGGGUCACCGGUCGACGGCCACCCGCGCGCCACCGCGCCAGACUGGGCGCGCCCUCCUCGCCGUGGGUCCUCCACUCCGGGAUCCGGCGGCGGCGGCGGCCUCCCUGCGGCCCUGCCUGCGCCGUGCAGUGCCGCCCCUCGCCGGCGGUCGGCUCAACUCCCUGUCCACCACAGUGCCGAGCCGGCAUCCACCUCCUGCUUCCACCGCCAGUUUGCCACAGUGCCGCGCCGGCCUCCCGUCCCUGGUCGAAGGCCGCCACCGCCACCUACUGAAUUGUGAUAAUGUGAGUGAUUCUCCUCUCCCCAAUGGCCCAAUUCCUC
Molecule: unclassified non-coding RNA, 368 nt
Filed under: Zea mays
Lineage: Eukaryota; Viridiplantae; Streptophyta; Magnoliopsida; Poales; Poaceae
Description: misc RNA Zm00001eb399160
Source: RNAcentral